UACGGAGGGUGCAAGCGUGAUUCGGAUUCACUGGGCGUAAAGGGUGCGCAGGCGGCCAAGUGUGUCAGAUGUGAAAUCCCGAGGCUCAACCUCGGAACUGCGUCUGAAACUACUUGGCUAGAGUACUGGAGAGGGUAACGGAAUUCACGGUGUAGCAGUGAAAUGCGUAGAUAUCGUGAGGAACACCAGAGGCGAAGGCGGUUACCUGGACAGUUACUGACGCUCAGGCACGUAAGCGUGGGGAGCAAAAGCG
RNAcentral lists this ribosomal RNA (253 nucleotides) under uncultured bacterium. RNAcentral's name for it is "partial 16S ribosomal RNA". It matches the Rfam family "Bacterial small subunit ribosomal RNA", at positions 524 to 776 of the family's 1533-position model. The record is from RNAcentral.